GAGCGAGGCGAGGGGCUCCGCCCUACAACGAGAGGGACGCCUCGCGAGCCGGGCUUUGGAGAUGAGGCCUUUUGGCGAAGCGAAGUCAAUUUCGGGCGACCAAAUCCUGAAGAAAGCUCAAAAGCGUUGUUUGAUGAGCCUGCGUAGUAUUAGGUAGUUGGUCGGGUAAAGGCUGACCAAGCCAAUGAUGCUUAGCUGGUCUUAUCGGAUGAUCAGCC
Molecule: non-coding RNA, 218 nt
Organism: Triticum urartu
Lineage: Eukaryota; Viridiplantae; Streptophyta; Magnoliopsida; Poales; Poaceae
Source: Rfam